GGCCCCGUGGUGGAAUUGGCAGACACGAGGGACUUAAAAUCCCUUUCCUCCGGGAGUGACGGUUCGAGUCCGUCCGGGGCUA
Molecule: transfer RNA, 82 nt
Filed under: Devosia sp.
Lineage: Bacteria; Pseudomonadati; Pseudomonadota; Alphaproteobacteria; Hyphomicrobiales; Devosiaceae
Also listed under: 3 other names
Description: tRNA-Leu
Rfam family: tRNA
About the family: Transfer RNA (tRNA) molecules are approximately 80 nucleotides in length. Their secondary structure includes four short double-helical elements and three loops (D, anti-codon, and T loops). Further hydrogen bonds mediate the characteristic L-shaped molecular structure. tRNAs have two regions of fundamental functional importance: the anti-codon, which is responsible for specific mRNA codon recognition, and the 3' end, to which the tRNAs corresponding amino acid is attached (by aminoacyl-tRNA synthetases). tRNAs cope with the degeneracy of the genetic code in two manners: having more than one tRNA (with a specific anti-codon) for a particular amino acid; and 'wobble' base-pairing, i.e. permitting non-standard base-pairing at the 3rd anti-codon position.
Source: RNAcentral